RNAcentral lists this ribosomal RNA (470 nucleotides) under uncultured marine eukaryote. Its description in RNAcentral is "bacterial SSU rRNA". It matches the Rfam family "Eukaryotic small subunit ribosomal RNA", at positions 676 to 1147 of the family's 1831-position model. The record is from RNAcentral.
UAGCUCUCAGCUACACUUCCCCCAUCCUGCCCGAACCGUGCUACCAUUAGUUUGGUGGCGCUGGGGAUCGGCUCGUUUACUUUGAGAAAAAUAGAGUGUUCAAAGCAGGCCACACGCCUUGAAUAAGUUAGCAUGGAAUAAUGAUAAAGGACUUCGGUUCUAUUUUGUUGGUGUUCGGGACUGAAGUAAUGAUUAAUAGGGACAAUUAAGGGCAUUCGUAUUAAGCCGUCAGAGGUGGAAUUCUUGGAUUGGCUUACGACGAACUACUGCGAGAGCAUUUGCCAAAGAUGUUUUCAUUGAUCAAGAACGAAAGUAUGGGGAUCGAAGACGAUUAGAUACCGUCGUAGUCUAUACCAUAAACUAUGCCAACUAGAGAUUGGAGGGGUUCUCCUUAUUGGCUCCUUCAGCAUCUUAUGAGAAAUCAAGUCUUUGGGUUCCGGGGGGAGUAUGGUCGCAAGGCUGAAACUUAA